GUUCUGCCAUUCUAUUGUCCUCCUGGAUUCUAAUCCUGAUAAUCAGAUCCUCUAAGGACAUUUCUUUUCUCUUAUGCUUCAAACUAUUUUUAUACUCUUUCCAAGUAGGUGGCAAUUUUUCAAUUAUAGCUGACACUUGAAAGCCCUCACAGAUUUUAUAUCCUUCAGCAAUAAUUUCGUGAAUUAUAAUCUGCAAUUCUUCAACCUGACUAACCACAGUUCUAACAUCAUUCAUUUUAAAAUCUAAAAACUUUCCCACAACAAAUUUCUUGGUUCCAGCAUCUUCAGUAGCAUAUUUCUUUUCUAAUGAAUUCCAUAACUCUUUU
RNAcentral lists this long non-coding RNA (326 nucleotides) under Olea europaea (common olive). RNAcentral describes it as "long non-coding RNA (OEUR_LNC010682)". Lineage: Eukaryota; Viridiplantae; Streptophyta; Magnoliopsida; Lamiales; Oleaceae. The record is from RNAcentral.